GAGGGUAUAGCUCAGUGGUAGAGCGCAUGCUUAGCAUGCAUGAGGUCCUGGGUUCAAUCCCAGUACCUCCU
RNAcentral lists this transfer RNA (71 nucleotides) under Camelus bactrianus (Bactrian camel). It matches the Rfam family "tRNA". From Rfam's summary of the family: Transfer RNA (tRNA) molecules are approximately 80 nucleotides in length. RNAcentral also lists the same sequence under 2 other names. The record is from Rfam by way of RNAcentral. Lineage: Eukaryota; Metazoa; Chordata; Mammalia; Artiodactyla; Camelidae.